GAGAACAAAGGCUGUCUCAGGGAGACAAAGCAGAAGUCAAGUGUGGUGCGUGAUGAUGACCCUGAGUGGAGGAGAAGCACAUGAAUGGAAGCAACCUGUGGCUCUGAUUGGAGAUUGCAGUGAAGUCUAAGGACAACUGGAGGCAUCUCAGCCUACACAGGGGCAUCAGGAACAAGGAGGAUAAGGGGAAUGUCUCAACACUUGUCGCCUUCUGGGCUACUCCUGAAAUGCAGUAGCUCAGCCUUAUGUGGAGGAUCCAGCUUCUCUGGAUGAGUCUGCACCGCACUGUUGCACCUGUGUCGGAUGUGCCAUUACAAUGCCCAACCUAAGAAGAACCAAACAAGGCACAGAUUUGUGAAAUCCCUCCGCCCUGCUAGUCACAGAACCGGGCCGAACCAGCCUGAAAACCGUUGACAGAGGGAGAGACAAUGUCUGUUAUGUCUCUCUCAGAGAAAAGCUCUCUUUUGUAUAGUUGUUCUGAUACAGAUGUUCCUCAAAUUGCAUUUUAAACCUGUUAUCCUGCCUCCACCACUGCAAGUUCUGCUGUAUCUAAGAAAAAAAUAUCUAUGGCCACUAUUUGUCUGUAUCAGAGAUUGAUAGCAGGAAAAUAAAGAAAUUGUCUAAUUCUGGGAAAUCUAAUUAGAGUCAGAAAAACUUUUAUAACUCAGAUUGUAUUGAGAAGUCAAAGUAUAAAGACAUAAAAGUAUAUUAUAUACAUAAAUUCACCAUAUGUUUGACUUUAAACAGUUAUUUAUUUUAUAUGUACAUAAUCUAAGUGAAAUUUUCAGCUGCAAUUAUAUAACAUCAUUAUAAACUUUCACUGAAAUGAACAAAUAAACUCAUUCUUAAAAGGUGAAGU
Long non-coding RNA from Gallus gallus (chicken), 859 nucleotides. RefSeq lists it as uncharacterized. The record is from RefSeq and is a predicted model, not a curated record. NCBI's taxonomy places the organism in Eukaryota, Metazoa, Chordata, Aves, Galliformes, Phasianidae. The transcript has 4 exons.